CCCCGGAGUCGGUCCGGCGGAGUUUUUCGGGUAUUUUAAUUGUUGAUAAUUAUCUAGUUUGUCUCGAUAUACGUGAAAGCUAGAUAUUUUGAUUAUUAUAUUACUUUUUAUCGAAAUACGUGCAAAUGGGACCCGCAGACUAAUCAUUGCUUUUAAAUGCCCCGUUUUGAUGAUUAUCUCGAAAACCGGUACCGAUUGGACCCCGCUUUAUUAAUAUAAAGCUAUUAAAUACGUAUUUCAUGUCAUAUACGAUCCAAAGGGGUACCAAUUAUUUGUAAAUAUAAAUAGACUUUCCUGUAACUUAUUUUCACCAUAAAAAUCAUUUCACCAGUUUCUUUUCACGAAUACCGAGAGAAACUGAACUGUGUUCUUCGUGUUCUUCGUAAUCAAACGAGGAUUUGAAGGUGUUAUUGGAAUCCGAUGGAGGCGUAUGAAUAGCCAAAACGAAGCUCUCGACGCGUAGAUUAUAGAUUAAUCAUCAAAACAAGCGCAGGUAUAAUAGAUUAUUUAUUUGGAAUUUUACAAAAUUCGAAUUAUAGUAUUUCAAGGGAUGAUUUUUCGUAGAUGAUCUUGUGUGAUUGUUUUGAUGAUUCCAUGUUGUAGUACGUCUUUUUCUCGUCGUUUUGGUAUAUUAUAUGUUGAAUUUUGACUUCGAUAACAUAGAGAAAAGUUGGUUUGAUUCUUGAAGUUGUGUUCUUGAAUGUUCUUGGAGGUUAUGAAUGUUCUUAAUUCAAAAAGAGGCGUUUUUAAUCUAGGAAUUCUGCGUUGUUUUGGUUUAUACCAUUAGGAAGAGUGUUUCAAGAGGAAUAUGUUCAUAUAAUCAGAUUUUGUGUGGGAUUCACGGUUGAACUCGCCGGAGUUUAUGAACACCGGCGGUGUUCUUGGACUUUCCGGCCAAAAUCCGGCCAAACUACGUGUUAAUUACUAAGUUUGAUUAUGGGAAUGAGUUGUUGGGCGUGUGUACUACUGAUCUGGAGUGUAUGGCGAGUGGAGGAUGCCUGGAAAUGAAUUUCCGGCGAGUUAGUGUGGUGGCCGGCGGCUUAUUGCUGUUUGGUCACCGAAGUUUUGAAGAUGAUGAAGUUUUUGUACUCAGGUUUUGAAACUUAUGAAUUACCUCCUGUAACUUUGAAAAGUUGCACUUUAAACCCUGGACGAAAACUUUCAAAAGUUUACAAAAUAAACCUUUCUGAUUUAAUUUCAAAAAUUGUUUUUAUUUAAUUAUUUUAAUUCCGAAAAUAGUUUUUAAUUAUUUCUUUAUUCAAAAAUAAAUCUAAAUUAGUUUAUUAAUUACUUUUAAUUAGUAAUUAAUUAUUUUAAUUGGUCAAUUAAUUUAAAUAUUAAUUGAUUAAUUAUUUUAAUUAAUUAUUAAUUGAUUUUAAUUGAUUAAUUAAUUGGAUUUAAUUAAUCCUUUUUGAUUUAAAAAUUCCGAAAAAUAGUUUCGAGCUUUAAAAUAUUUUUCCAAAUUAUUUUCAAGGCUCGAUAAUUGUUUAUGAAUGAUUUCAAGUCCAAUUUCAAGUAUUUGGGACUUGAUUAUUUAUCCGAAAAGUGAUUCUUUUAUCGAUUUUAAUUCCGAAAAAUGUUUAAAAAUUCCAGAAAAUUCCCGAAAAAUCAUUUUUAACCCAAGACUUGAUUUAAUAUCAAUUGGGAUGGGAAACCUUAUGUGUUGUGUGUUGUCUGCUAUUGGUUGGAUGUGUUAUGUGCUGAUAGGAGAGUGAGAAAACUGUUUUGAUCAUAUCUUUUGAUCAGUAAGUCGGAAUCAAGUGAAACGAAAGAGAGACAGAAGCUUAUAACGUCUAUUUUAAUAUGAUGUGACUAUAUGGCUGAGUCUAUAAGGUGAAUAAUUGUUGAUAAGUAUGCAUAAUGUGAUAAUAUGUGAUCUAAGUGCUAUCAAGUGAUGAUUAUGUGAAGUACGUGUUAGUUUUGAUAUUGUGAAGUGAUAAAUGAUUCGUAUGAUUGAUAUUGGAUAAGAAUAUAUGGAUUAUAGUUAUUGGAUUUUGUUGGUUGAUUAAUGAUUGAGAUAGGAUAACAGGUGGAUAGUCUUAUACAUAGACGAGACGAUGUCGGAUUUUCGAUAAGGAUUUAUAUGAUAAUUGAUUGGUGAUAUGUUAUGUGGAAUAUGAUUGACUAUAUGUUAGAGUCAAAGCAUGCUUAUGUGUUACGUGGUAUCUGAUAAGUUUAAAGGGAUAUAUAAGUGGGUAUCGAUAUACGUGAUAUGUAUAUGCGAUAUAUUGUUUAGUGACUAUAGUAUUAUCUUAUUCUCGUAAAGGAUUUGGACGAGACGUGUACGCUCGAAGACGUCAGGAAGUCGAAAUGGUAUUGCAAAGCGAAUAAGGGAUGAAUCGAGUAAGCGAAGCGAUGUGGCGAAUAGAGUACGGCUAGAGAUGGUCUAGAAAUUAUAAUAUGAAUAGAUUGUGAAAGUGGAAAGAUGAGGUUGAGCUAUGAGACUAGAGUCAGAUUUAAGGCAAGUAUCCUGCACCCAGCUUUUGGAUAUAUUGCAAAUAUUCUGAUUCAUUCUUUUGAUGUGUUGCAAGUAUCCUAAGCCUUUCUCUUGGAUAUAUUGCAAAU
This 2565-nucleotide long non-coding RNA is filed under the name Daucus carota (carrot). Its description in RNAcentral is "long non-coding RNA (DCAR_LNC002623)". Lineage: Eukaryota; Viridiplantae; Streptophyta; Magnoliopsida; Apiales; Apiaceae. The record is from RNAcentral.